This 1070-nucleotide ribosomal RNA is filed under the name uncultured bacterium. RNAcentral describes it as "bacterial SSU rRNA". It matches the Rfam family "Bacterial small subunit ribosomal RNA", at positions 400 to 1482 of the family's 1533-position model. The record is from RNAcentral.
CGUGGGGGACGAAGGUCUUCGGGUUGUAAACCUCUUUUAGUAGGGAAGAAGCGAAAGUGACGGUACCUGCAGAAAAAGCACCGGCUAACUACGUGCCAGCAGCCGCGGUAAUACGUAGGGUGCAAGCGUUGUCCGGAAUUAUUGGGCGUAAAGAGCUCGUAGGCGGUUUGUCGCGUCUGCUGUGAAAACCCGAGGCUCAACCUCGGGCCUGCAGUGGGUACGGGCAGACUAGAGUGCGGUAGGGGAGAUUGGAAUUCCUGGUGUAGCGGUGGAAUGCGCAGAUAUCAGGAGGAACACCGAUGGCGAAGGCAGAUCUCUGGGCCGUAACUGACGCUGAGGAGCGAAAGCGUGGGGAGCGAACAGGAUUAGAUACCCUGGUAGUCCACGCCGUAAACGUUGGGAACUAGAUGUGGGGGCCAUUCCACGGCUUCCGUGUCGCAGCUAACGCAUUAAGUUCCCCGCCUGGGGAGUACGGCCGCAAGGCUAAAACUCAAAGGAAUUGACGGGGGCCCGCACAAGCGGCGGAGCAUGCGGAUUAAUUCGAUGCAACGCGAAGAACCUUACCAAGGCUUGACAUAUACAGGAAAUGGCUGGAAACAGUCCCCCCGCAAGGUCUGUAUACAGGUGGUGCAUGGUUGUCGUCAGCUCGUGUCGUGAGAUGUUGGGUUAAGUCCCGCAACGAGCGCAACCCUCGUCUUAUGUUGCCAGCACGUAAUGGUGGGAACUCAUGGGAGACUGCCGGGGUCAACUCGGAGGAAGGUGGGGAUGACGUCAAAUCAUCAUGCCCCUUAUGUCUUGGGCUUCACGCAUGCUACAAUGGCCGGUACAAAGGGCUGCAAUACCGCAAGGUGGAGCGAAUCCCAAAAAGCCGGUCUCAGUUCGGAUUGGGGUCUGCAACUCGACCCCAUGAAGUUGGAGUCGCUAGUAAUCGUGGAUCAGCAACGCCACGGUGAAUACGUUCCCGGUCCUUGUACACGCCGCCCGUCAAGUCAUGAAAGUCGGUAACACCCGAAGCCAGUGGCCCAACCGCAAGGAGGGAGCUGUCGAAGGUGGGAUUGGUGAUUAGGACU